UAUGGGUUUUGUAAUCAGCGUGAGUCAUUUGACAUGGAGGGCAACGCAAUGACAAUGGUGUAACUGAUAAGGGAUGUUGUGUGAAAGCGCACUCUGGGGCAUGGAUCACCAUGAAGACUUAGCGAGAGAACUCACUCCUCCUCACGCGUCCCUAUCAGAGCCAACAUCAGACCGGGGUAGUUUCUACCCUCAUCUCUCCGAAUGCGCCAACAUCGAGGUUGAUGGCAGGGAAAAUAUGGAAAACCAUACAAUGAAAGAGGCGGUGAAACAGAGAUCGGCUCCUCAAGAAAGGGGACUGGUCCC
Long non-coding RNA from Oncorhynchus tshawytscha (Chinook salmon), 303 nucleotides. The record is from Ensembl. Lineage: Eukaryota; Metazoa; Chordata; Actinopteri; Salmoniformes; Salmonidae.